Molecule: long non-coding RNA, 215 nt
Filed under: Brassica napus (rape)
Lineage: Eukaryota; Viridiplantae; Streptophyta; Magnoliopsida; Brassicales; Brassicaceae
Description: long non-coding RNA (BNAP_LNC006811)
Source: RNAcentral
GCUUGAAGCUCAUCAAGCCUCUGGUAGAUAUGAUCUACACCUGUAUUCAUAAGGUUAGUCAUGGAAUCAUUCAAAGCUCUCAUCUGCAAGUUAGAUAAACCAGCAAAAGAAUUUUCCAGGUCGGCUCCUUUCUUCUUCACUACUCAUGGUCUUCCUGAAAACUUUUUAUACACAAAAUAUUAGUAGACAAAAGAAAUUGCUUACUCUCUCAAAUG